UUCCAUUGCAAUAACUCAAAUUUAAGUAAAAUUUCCUGAUAAAAUUAACAUAAGUAUUUUUCUUUAAUAAAUAGUAAAACUUCCAUCCUUGAUUUUUAAUCUUUGAUCCAAUAGAGAAUCCUUCUUUUUCAAAACACUUGAAAUCUAUAUUCUUCCCGAAUUUCACUUUUCGAUCAGAGAGACGUCCUUGCUUGGACUGAUUGGAGACUGUGUAGAAGCUGAAGC
This 225-nucleotide long non-coding RNA is filed under the name Elaeis guineensis (African oil palm). RNAcentral's name for it is "long non-coding RNA (EGUI_LNC065519)". Lineage: Eukaryota; Viridiplantae; Streptophyta; Magnoliopsida; Arecales; Arecaceae. The record is from RNAcentral.